This 983-nucleotide long non-coding RNA is filed under the name Lathyrus oleraceus (garden pea). RNAcentral's name for it is "Pisum sativum (pea) long non-coding RNA (PSAT_LNC019832)". The record is from RNAcentral. Lineage: Eukaryota; Viridiplantae; Streptophyta; Magnoliopsida; Fabales; Fabaceae.
UCUCCCCACACACAAUUUCUUCACUGAAUGAUACUUCACCAUCACGUUAGUUUCUUAAAAAGGACACCAAAACUUUAACACAUAAAAAAAACUUUUUCCAUCUCCAAACCUCACCUCUCUGCAACAUGAAUUUUCCAUAAACCACUUCAUAAAAUAACACCAUUAAACUCCAUUCACCUUCAUGCUACAAGUCACAACAAAACCAUAAACAUAACUUUUAUCACUACACAAUCCUCUUUACCUCUAUCACCUUUAUCAACAUCCUUUCAAAAUAACUUAUAACACCAUGGAAAACUCUCACACACAAUAAUGCAUAUCCUUCACUUCCAUCUACCUUGACUCAUCAUUCUCUUCAAACGUCAUCAUUAAGAACAACCACAUUAACAAUACAAUUUUCAAACCGAAAACAAACAGAAAAUAAUAGAAAAGGAAAAUUUUCAGAUCGGAUCCGUAACCAUCCAUUACGCACGAACAAGAAUCGUGUCCGACGCAUCGAAACAUAACAACGACGACACCUACCUCCAUUCGCCGUCGCUUUCGACACCCUCACCGUCAUUCGCCGUCAUACCAUGAGUUUGGUUUACUUUUUAUGAUGAUUGCUUGCUUGUUGAUUGUCUUUAUUUGUUGUGUUAUGUGAAACAUGUUUAAAGAAAAUUUAUGAAAAUGGUUAAGGAUUAGAAAGAGGGAAAUAAAGCAAAAAUGAGAAGGAAGGGAAUAAUGAAUAAUGAAUUUGUCUUUGGUCUCUGUUGCAUCAUGUUGCUUUGCCAUGUUUAAAUUCUUUUUUUAUUUUAUUUUUCCAUAACACAUGCCACGUGUCGAAAAACCAUUGACAUAGAUUUUAAGUUGAAAAUUCAAUUUUCCCCCUUUUGGUUGCAUCAUCUGCUACUUGCUUGCAAAGCUAUAAAAAAAGCCUGGAUUUUAUGGUGGUUUAGUUACUAAAAUAUUUUUGUAAGUCUAUAUUUUCCAAUAGAAAUUAAUUAGAG